RNAcentral lists this long non-coding RNA (262 nucleotides) under Elaeis guineensis (African oil palm). RNAcentral describes it as "long non-coding RNA (EGUI_LNC054992)". The record is from RNAcentral. Lineage: Eukaryota; Viridiplantae; Streptophyta; Magnoliopsida; Arecales; Arecaceae.
GCCACCUUGAAUCUCUAUCUCCCAUUUUUGUUUUUCAUUUUUAUUUUUGAUUUAAUAUUUUUUAAAAUUUUUUGUUACCAAAUGUGCAUGGAAGCUUAGAGACUCCUAACCUAUUGAAUAUGAAACCUCAUCCUCCUUCAUUGACUUCCUAACUAAAAGAGGGGAGAGAAAAGUAUUCACUAAUGUUUGUACUCCAAAUUUAUUUUUCUCCCAUUGGUACUCUACAAUAACCUUAGUUUUCAUCUAACACUCUAUCACGUGC